This 460-nucleotide ribosomal RNA is filed under the name uncultured bacterium. RNAcentral's name for it is "partial 16S ribosomal RNA". It matches the Rfam family "Bacterial small subunit ribosomal RNA", at positions 338 to 795 of the family's 1533-position model. The record is from RNAcentral.
CCUACGGGUGGCAGCAGUGAGGAAUAUUGGUCAAUGGACGAGAGUCUGAACCAGCCAAGUAGCGUGAAGGAUGACUGCCCUAUGGGUUGUAAACUUCUUUUAUAUGGGAAUAAAACGUUCCACGUGUGGGAUUUUGUAUGUACCAUAUGAAUAAGGAUCGGCUAACUCCGUGCCAGCAGCCGCGGUAAUACGGAGGAUCCGAGCGUUAUCCGGAUUUAUUGGGGUUAAAGGGAGCGUAGGUGGAUUGUUAAGUCAGUUGUGAAAGUUUGCGGCUUAACCGGAAAAUUGCAGUUGAAACUGGCAGUCUUGAGUACAGGAGAGGUGGGCGGAAUUCGUGGUGUAGCGGUGAAAUGCUUAGAUAUCACGAAGAACUCCGAUUGCGAAGGCAGUUCACUGGACUGCAACUGACACUGAGGCUCGAAAGUGUGGGUAUCAAACAGGAUUAGAUACCCGAGUAGUC